UGACGUCAAGUCCUCAUGGCCUUUAUGACCAGGGCUACACACGUACUACAAUGGCCGGUACAAAGGGCAGCGACACAGCGAUGUGAAGCGAAAUCCCGAAAGCCGGUCUCAGUCCGGAUUGGAGUCUGCAACUCGACUCCAUGAAGUUGGAAUCGCUAGUAAUCGCGGAUCAGCACGCCGCGGUGAAUACGUUCCCGGGCCUU
This 203-nucleotide ribosomal RNA is filed under the name uncultured Desulfocapsa sp. RNAcentral describes it as "partial 16S ribosomal RNA". It matches the Rfam family "Bacterial small subunit ribosomal RNA", at positions 1180 to 1382 of the family's 1533-position model. The record is from RNAcentral. Lineage: Bacteria; Pseudomonadati; Thermodesulfobacteriota; Desulfobulbia; Desulfobulbales; Desulfocapsaceae.